ACCGGAGACGGAGGAGUGCUUUUAUUAGAUCAAAACCAAUCGGUGGCGGGUUCGCUCGUCAUCGUACAACUUGGUGACUCUGAAUAACUUUAUGCUGAUCGCACGGUCUCGCACCGGCGACGCAUCUUUCAAAUGUCUGCCUUAUCAACUGUCGAUGGUAGGUUCUGCGCCUACCAUGGUUGUAACGGGUAACGGGGAAUCAGGGUUCGAUUCCGGAGAGGGAGCCUGAGAAACGGCUACCACAUCCAAGGAAGGCAGCAGGCGCGCAAAUUACCCACUCCCGGCACGGGGAGGUAGUGACGAAAAAUAACGAUACGGGACUCAUCCGAGGCCCCGUAAUCGGAAUGAGUACACUCUAAACCCUUUAACGAGGAUCAAUUGGAGGGCAAGUCUGGUGCCAGCAGCCGCGGUAAUUCCAGCUCCAAUAGCGUAUAUUAAAGUUGUUGCGGUUAAAAAGCUCGUAGUCGAAUCUGUGUCUUGCGCCGCCGGUUCAUCGUUCGCGGUGUUAACUGGCGUGUCGCAGGACGUCCUGCCGGUGGGCUUAGCUCGCAAGGGCGGCCCAACUCAAUCCUGCCGCGGUGCUCUUCACUGAGUGUCGAGGUGGGCCGGCACGUUUACUUUGAACAAAUUAGAGUGCUUAAAGCAGGCUAAAACUUCGCCUGAAUACUGUGUGCAUGGAAUAAUGGAAUAGGACCUCGGUUCUAUUUUGUUGGUUUUCGGAACCCCGAGGUAAUGAUUAAUAGGAACGGAUGGGGGCAUUCGUAUUGCGACGUUAGAGGUGAAAUUCUUGGAUCGUCGCAAGACGGACAGAAGCGAAAGCAUUUGCCAAAAACGCUUUCAUUGAUCAAGAACGAAAGUUAGAGGUUCGAAGGCGAUCAGAUACCGCCCUAGUUCUAACCAUAAACGAUGCCAGCUAGCGAUCCGUCGACGUUCCUCCGAUGACUCGACGGGCAGCUUCCGGGAAACCAAAGCUUUUGGGUUCCGGGGGAAGUAUGGUUGCAAAGCUGAAACUUAAAGGAAUUGACGGAAGGGCACCACCAGGAGUGGAGCCUGCGGCUUAAUUUGACUCAACACGGGAAACCUCACCAGGCCCGGACACCGGAAGGAUUGACAGAUUGAGAGCUCUUUCUUGAUUCGGUGGGUGGUGGUGCAUGGCCGUUCUUAGUUGGUGGAGCGAUUUGUCUGGUUAAUUCCGAUAACGAACGAGACUCUAGCCUGCUAACUAGGCGUAUUUUGACAUCGCAAAGGCCCGCCGGUAUCGGGGUUCGCUCCUUUAUCGUGCGCGGUUUUUACUGUCGGCGUACAAACAAUUCUUCUUAGAGGGACAGGCGGCUUCUAGCCGCACGAGAUUGAGCAAUAACAGGUCUGUGAUGCCCUUAGAUGUUCUGGGCCGCACGCGCGCUACACUGAAGGAAUCAGCGUGUCCUCCCUGGCCGAGUGGCCCG
Molecule: ribosomal RNA, 1445 nt
Filed under: Deporaus minimus
Lineage: Eukaryota; Metazoa; Arthropoda; Insecta; Coleoptera; Attelabidae
Description: SSU rRNA
Rfam family: Eukaryotic small subunit ribosomal RNA
Source: RNAcentral